This 302-nucleotide ribosomal RNA is filed under the name uncultured bacterium. RNAcentral's name for it is "partial 16S ribosomal RNA". It matches the Rfam family "Bacterial small subunit ribosomal RNA", at positions 508 to 807 of the family's 1533-position model. The record is from RNAcentral.
GCAGCCGCCGCGGGAAUACGUAGGUGGCAAGCGUUGUCCGGAAUUAUUGGGCGUAAAGGGCUCGCAGGCGGUUUCUUAAGUCUGAUGUGAAAGCCCCCGGCUCAACCGGGGAGGGUCAUUGGAAACUGGGAAACUUGAGUGCAGAAGAGGAGAGUGGAAUUCCACGUGUAGCGGUGAAAUGCGUAGAGAUGUGGAGGAACACCAGUGGCGAAGGCGACUCUCUGGUCUGUAACUGACGCUGAGGAGCGAAAGCGUGGGGAGCGAACAGGAUUAGAUACCCCAGUAGUCCCUGUCUCUUAUAC